UCCUGGAAUGAUGCCCACCCUUUUCUGUUUGUCCUCAGAAAACCUGUCUGCCAACAUAUCUUGUCCCACUAAUUGGACUCUGCACAAUUGUAGAUGUUUCCACUUUGUUACAACACCAUUGAGUUGGGCUCAGGCUCAGAAACACUGUCAAUCCGAGGGGGGAAACCUUGCAUCGAUACACAGUGUUGAGGAGGUUUUGGAGAUUCAUAGGAUCAUACAACAUAACACUGAGUUGAACAAUGCAGCUAAUGGAAAAUACUUGGUUCUGGGGUGAUGGUAAACCUUUCAAAUUCACAUACUGGUGUCCAGGAACACCAAAGGAUCCCAAAAAACAGUGCUGUUUACAGAUUUCUUCUAGAGAUGGACAGUGCUGGGAAGACUCAUUGUGUUACAAUCUCCUCCCAUCAAUCUGUGCCAAACCCUCCAGUGAUUGCUGAACGGACACAGAGGCAUGCACUACCUUUAAACAAACACUUGGUAUAUGUGACAAGUGAAACUGAAGCUGAAGAAGAGGAUUGAAUGGUUGUUAAUGAGUAUCUUAUUACCACUCUGAGAAAAUUAGUCUUAUAAUGUAAAAUUAAAAAGCUGAAGCAUUGAAACAA
Molecule: long non-coding RNA, 602 nt
Organism: Perca fluviatilis (European perch)
Lineage: Eukaryota; Metazoa; Chordata; Actinopteri; Perciformes; Percidae
Exons: 4
Source: RefSeq, a predicted model, not a curated record